Molecule: ribosomal RNA, 1557 nt
Filed under: uncultured Paraglomus
Lineage: Eukaryota; Fungi; Glomeromycota; Glomeromycetes; Paraglomerales; Paraglomeraceae
Description: eukaryotic LSU rRNA
Rfam family: Eukaryotic large subunit ribosomal RNA (bases 767-1557)
Source: RNAcentral
UAUUGCUCUUUAACGAGGAAUCCCUAGUAAGCGUGAGUCAUUAGCUCGCGUUGAUUACGUCCCUGCCCUUUGUACACACCGCCCGUCGCUACUACCGAUUGAAUGGCUUAGUGAGACUUUCGGAUGUGUUUGGAGCCGCUGGCAACAGCGACACCUUGCGCAGAAGUUAUUCAAACUUGGUCAUUUAGAGGAAGUAAAAGUCGUAACAAGGUUUCCGUAGGUGAACCUGCGGAAGGAUCAUUAAAAAAAAAUUUAAUGAAUGGUCGGAGGGGAACAUUUUUUGUUCCCCUUUGGCUUUAUUCAACCAACCCGCUCUUGUAUUUUGUAUCAAACAAAAAAUUUCUUUAAAACUAAUAAAAAAUAGUAAUGUAAAAAAAAACUUUCAACAACGGAUCUCUUGGCUCUCGCAUCGAUGAAGAACGCAGCGAAAUGCGAUAAGUAGUGUGAAUUGCAGAACUUUGUGAACCAUCGAAUCUUUGAACGCAAAUUGCGCCUUUCUCGGAAGGCAUGUCUGUUUGAGGGCACCAUUUAACAAAUAAUGUGCGUGUUGCGUUUUGCGCGCGGCGUGCACACGUUGAUGAGCUUUCCAAAAGAAAAUAUUUUUUUUUUGGUGGCGCAUAAUAAACAGCGUGAGGGCUUUUCUUAAUUCGAGUGUAGUAAAAUCUUUUUUUGACGACGCUUGGUUUGUGAGAAGCACAUUGCGCAAUGGGUGUGGCGGUACCCAGCCCCAACGCCACUCUUUCUCACGAAAGAAAGUUAAUCAUCAGGGCCUCAAAUCAGACAAGAGUACCCGCUGAACUUAAGCAUAUCAAUAAGCGGAGGAAAAGAAACUAACAAGGAUUCCCCUAGUAACGGCGAGUGAAGCGGGAACAGCUCAAAUUUUAAAUCUGACUGCUUCGCAGUUCGAGUUGUAGUUUGAAGGAGUCUGUCGCCAGUGCGACGAUGACACAAGUCCUCUGGAACGUGGCAUCGUAGAGGGUGAGAAUCCCGUCUCUGGUCGUUGUUGCGCGGGCAUACGGCAGGCAUCCGAAGAGUCGAGUUGUUUGGGAUUGCAGCUCCAAAUGGGUGGUAAACUCCAUCUAAGGCUAAAUAUUGGCGAGAGACCGAUAGCGAACAAGUACCGUGAGGGAAAGAUGAAAAGAACUUUGAAAAGAGAGUAAAACAGUACGUGAAAUUGUUGAAAGGGAAACGCUUGAAGUCAGUCGUGCCGGCGGAGAUUCAGCUCGCUUCGCGGAGUUGGGCGCAUUUCUUCGCAUGGCAGGUCAGCGUCAGUUUCGCGCGUCGUGAAAGGGCUCGGGUAAGGUGACUCUCUCCGGGGAGUGUUAUAGACCUGAGCAGAUGCGCUGCGCGGGACUGAGGAUUGCAGCGGACACCCUUCGGGGCGUGGCGACCGACCCCUGCUUCAUCACCCUUGUCCGAUAGCGUGCUAACGGGCCGGGGAGCGAUGGGUGCACCGGGUUGGCAAGCCGGCGGUUUCGCUAAGGACGCUGACGUAAUGGCUUUAAACGACCCGUCUUGAAACACGGACCAAGGAGUCUAACAUAUGUGCGAGUGUUU